GAUGUGGCAUGUGGCCAGGAGCAUGGCAACCUCGUGGUGAUGGCAGAGGGCACAGAUGUGGCACGUGGCCACCAAGCAUGGCAACCUUGUGGUGAUGGCUCAGGGCACAGAUGUGGCACGUGGCCACGUGGGCACGGCAACAACAUGGCAGUGGCACACAGGGGGGAUGGGGCACGUGGCCACCGAAGACGGGAAACCCAGCACAGAUGUGGCACGUGGCCACCAAGCAUGGCAACAACACGGCAGUGGCACACAGGAUGGAUGUGGCACGUGGCCACCAAGCAUGGCAACCUCGUGGUGAUGGCACAGGGCACAGAUGUGGCACGUGGCCACCGAGCAUGGCAACAACACGGCAGUGGCACACAAGGUGGAUGUGGCACGUGGCCACCGAGCAUGGCAACCUCAUGCUGAUGGCACAGAGCCCAGAUGUGGCUCGUGGCCACGCAGGCAUGGCAAGGACUCGGUGCUGGCACACGGUGUGGCUGUGCCACGUGCCAACCAAGCAGGGCGGCCCCGCACUGAUGGCACUUUUCCCAGCCCCCCCCUAAAGAUUGGGGUGCUGUGUUCCCAUAUAUCGGGGUGCUGUGUCCCCAUAUAUCAGGGUGCUGUGUCCGAUACAUCAGGGUGCUGCAUCCCUAAAGAUUGGGGUGCUGUGUCCCCACAUAUCGGGGUGCUGCGCCCCAAUAUCAGGGUGCUGUGUCCCAUAUAUCGGGGUGCUGUGCCCCUAUAGAUUGGGGUGCUGUGUUCCCAUAUAUCAGGGUGCAGUGUCCCUAUUGGGGUGCUGUGUCUCCGUACAUCAGGGUGCUGUCUCCCCUAUAUCAGGGUGCUGUGUCCCUACAGAUUGGGGUGCUGUGUCCCCAUACAUUGGGGUGCUGCGCCCCAAUAUCGGGGUGCUGUGUCCCCAUACACUGGGGGGCUGUGUCCCUUUCCAAUAUCGGGGUGCUGUGUCCCCAUACACUGGGGUGCUGUGUCCCUUUAGAUUGGGGUGCUGUGGCCCCAUACAUUGGGGUGCUGUGUCCCAUAUAUCGGGGUGCUGUGUCCCAUAUAUCGGGGUGCUGUGUUCCCAUAUAUCAGGGUGCUGCACCCCCAUAUCAGGGUGCUCUGUCCCCAUAUAUCGGGGUACUGUGUCCUAUAGAUUGGGGUGCUGUGUCCCCUCAUAUAUGGGUGCUGCGCCCCACUAUCGGGGUGCUGUGUCCCCAUAUAUCACGGCGCAGUGUCCCUAUAACUGGGGUUCCGUGUCCCCAUAUAUUGGGGUUCUGUCCCCCCCCAAAUCGGGGCGCCCCCCCCCAUUUCCGGGGUUUCCACGCGCUGUGCAUCUCCGUUGCCAUGGCGUCGCCGUUGCCAUGGAGACGCUGCGUUCGAUGCUCGCGGCCCCAUCCUCAGAUCCCCCCAUUUGUGGGGGUCGCAGUGAGACCCCAAACCUGCCAGGACCCAAAUGUGGUGCCCCCAUUUGUGGGGGUCUCAGUGAGAACCCAAACCUGCCAGGACCCAACUGCAG
RNAcentral lists this long non-coding RNA (1498 nucleotides) under Chrysolophus pictus (golden pheasant). RNAcentral describes it as "lncRNA (ENSCPIG00010000583.1)". Lineage: Eukaryota; Metazoa; Chordata; Aves; Galliformes; Phasianidae. The record is from RNAcentral.